Small nucleolar RNA from Arachis duranensis, 109 nucleotides. NCBI's taxonomy places the organism in Eukaryota, Viridiplantae, Streptophyta, Magnoliopsida, Fabales, Fabaceae. The record is from RefSeq and is a predicted model, not a curated record.
AAAGCAUGUCAGUAGGACACUUUUUGGUCAGUCCUUUAUAUCUCUCCCAAGCUUCAUAGAGGGAUUCACCUUCUUUCUGUCUGAAGGUCUGAACGUCCACUCUAAUUUU